RNAcentral lists this ribosomal RNA (433 nucleotides) under uncultured bacterium. RNAcentral's name for it is "partial 16S ribosomal RNA". It matches the Rfam family "Bacterial small subunit ribosomal RNA", at positions 29 to 507 of the family's 1533-position model. The record is from RNAcentral.
AACGAACGCUGGCGGCAGGCCUAACACAUGCCAGUCGAGCGGACCUUUCGGGGUCAGCGGCGGACGGGUGAGUAACGCGUGGGAAUAUGCCCUUCUCUACGGAAUAGUCCUGGGAAACUGGGGGUAAUACCGUAUACGCCCUUUGGGGGAAAGAUUUAUCGGGGAAGGAUUAGCCCGCGUUGGAUUAGGUAGUUGGUGGGGUAAUGGCCUACCAAGCCGACGAUCCAUAGCUGGUUUGAGAGGAUGAUCAGCCACACUGGGACUGAGACACGGCCCAGACUCCUACGGGAGGCAGCAGUGGGGAAUCUUAGACAAUGGGGGCAACCCUGAUCGAGCCAUGCCGCGUGAGUGAUGAAGGCCUUAGGGUUGUAAAGCUCUUUCAGCUGGGAAGAUAAUGACGGUACCAGCAGAAGAAGCCCCGGCUAACUCCGUG